GCCGGAAGACAGAAGCUUCCUCGACACUCGAAUCGAGCAGAUAUCGCGGCGGAGGAACGGGCUUUCCAUUUCCAGCAGAGGAAGACAGCUCGCUGUUGAUUCCAUUUGAUUUUAUUACUUCAGCUUGCUCACAUUUUUCUGGUCUCUUCAGCUUCAGCCAUGGCAAUUAAUCUAAAAAGGUAAACUGUUUGGAAACAUUACAUACAGCAACUAGGGCUAGGUUAUUAGACAGGUGGGCACGUCACCUAACACUUACCUACGCCAUCUUCCGUGAAACCUUGUUUUUAUUCUGCUUCACUAUUAUUGUACUGUUCAGUAUCCUUUCUCAAGCCCUUGUAUACAGGCGCUUAACCGACAACUCUCUCAGACUUUAACCGUAUGGAAGAAUGAUAGCACUUUAUUUGCUUAGCUCUGUUUCAAACCUAUCACCUUUUUGAUACAACUCC
Molecule: long non-coding RNA, 446 nt
Filed under: Dromaius novaehollandiae (emu)
Lineage: Eukaryota; Metazoa; Chordata; Aves; Casuariiformes; Dromaiidae
Description: lncRNA (ENSDNVG00000006859.1)
Source: RNAcentral